UAGGGAGUAUUGCGCAAUGGGGGCAACCCUGACGCAGCAACACCACGUGUGGGAUGUAGCCCUUCGGGGUGUGAACCACUGUCGGCGGGGAACAGAAGCCGAGCUAGACUCGGCCCGAGUGUACCCGCAGAGGAAGCACCGGCAAACUUCGUGCCAGCAGCCGCGGUAAUACGAGGGGUGCAAGCGUUGUUCGGAAUCACUGGGCGUAAAGGGAGCGUAGGCGGAGAAGCAAGCCGGGUGUCUAAUGCUGGGGCCCAACCCCAGCGCCGCACCCGGAACUGCUUCCCUUGGAUGGGCAAGGGGCAGGCGGAAUUCCUGGUGUAGCGGUGGAAUGCGUAGAUAUCAGGAGGAACACCGAGGGCGAAGGCAGCCUGCUGGGGCCACAUCGACGCUGAGGCUCGAAAGCGUGGGUAGCGAACAGG
This 422-nucleotide ribosomal RNA is filed under the name uncultured bacterium. RNAcentral's name for it is "bacterial SSU rRNA". It matches the Rfam family "Bacterial small subunit ribosomal RNA", at positions 355 to 776 of the family's 1533-position model. The record is from RNAcentral.